GAAGGGGGACGAAAAGAAAAAAGAUCGGCCUAAGGAUCAACAAUUCGGUAGCAACCAACAGGAACAAAAAGAAUGUGACUGCAAGAAAAAGAAGAAAGAAAAAAUGGGUAGAAAAGUGUACAAAAUAGAAAAGAAGAAGAAAAAAAUAAAAAUAAGUAUCAAAAAUUCACUAGCAAUAUUCGGUAGAGGAAGGAGAACAAUUGACAGAAAAUUGAGAGGAAACAAAAGCUAAAGCUGAAAUUUUGGGAAAGAAAUCAGUUUUGGCACCACUACUAGUCACCUCCCUUGAUCCACUCUUUAAAACUCUCCUACUAUGCCUCCACAAAUCGUCCACUUCCCAC
This 341-nucleotide long non-coding RNA is filed under the name Gossypium raimondii (Peruvian cotton). Its description in RNAcentral is "long non-coding RNA (GRAI_LNC008232)". Lineage: Eukaryota; Viridiplantae; Streptophyta; Magnoliopsida; Malvales; Malvaceae. The record is from RNAcentral.